UCUCCUCAUGGCAUGGCUCCCUCAUCAUGGCACAGCUCUGCACGGUCCCAGCUCCAUCAUGGCACAGCUCUCUCCUCAUGGCAUGGCUCCCUCAUCAUGGCACAGCUCUGCACGGGCCCAGCUCCAUCAUGGCACGGCUCUCUCCUCAUGGCACGGCUCUCUCAUCAUGGCACGGCUCCCUUCUCAUGGCACAGCUCUGCACAGGCCCAGCUCCAUCGUGGCACAGCUCUCUCCUCAUGGCACAGCUCUCCAUGGCACAGCUCUGCAUGGCACAGCUCUCCACGGCUCCCUUCUCAUGGCACAGCUCUCCAUGCACAGCUCUCUGUGGCAGAGCUCUCCUCAGCACAGCUCCCUUCCCGCUCCAUCCCCAUCUCUGUGGUCCCCAUGGCACAGAUCCUUCUGUGUCUCUCAGCUGUGGCCCAGCUCCAUCCCCACGGCACAGCCCUGUCCCCAUUUCCUCCUCACUGCACACUUCCCAUCCCACACCUCCUUCCCCAAUUCCUCCCCAUCCCACACCUCCUUCCUCAGCUCCUCCCCAUGCCACAGCUGUGUCCCCAUUGUGCAGCUCUCACACCCUUCCCGUUUUACACCCCGUUCUCUCUCCCCACCACCCACCAGCCCCGUGCAGAGCUGCUGCCGGAGGCUCCCAACACUCCCAGCAGCUCCAGGUGGCCCCAGUGCCAGCAGGUGCCACCUCACUGCAGGUGUGCCCGGCCCUGCCACCCCCAGUGUCCCUGUGCACCCUCCCGUGUGCCAGCAGGUCCCUGCAGGGAUGAGCCCCCUCCCCGGGAUGUGGGGGGCUUCCACCACCCCCGUGGUGCCGCAGGGACUGGCAGGGACAGCACACACGUGCUGGGGACAGAGCUGGGACACCCCAGGAUGUGCCAGGAGCUGCUUCCCGCCCCGUGGGGGUGACAGGGCCGUGCUCCCCACCAUGGUGGCAGGACAGCUGGCCGUGUGCACGGCAGAUGUCACCCCAGCCACCCUCUGCCGCCCCGGCCCCCGGCACCUGGUGGCCAGCGGCCAUCUGGAGCCCGCCGCAUCCCCGGAGACGAUGCUCAGCCGCGGUCACUGCCCUCCAGGCCGGGACUGUGGGGCUGCAGGCUGCUCCCGGGGCCGGGAGGAGCUGUGGGGACUCUCCCGGAGAGAGGGAAGGAGCAGCUCCCCAUCUGCAUCGGGAGGGGACAGUCCAGAUGUGCCCUCACAGCUGGGAGCAGAACCCGAAAGCCGGCUGCAGCACAGCCCUGCCCACCCACAGACCCCCGGCCUCGGCUGCUGCCAUGGUCCCCGGGGCACUGCGCUGUCCNNNNNNNNNNNNNNNNNNNNNNNNNNNNNNNNNNNNNNNNNNNNNNN
Molecule: long non-coding RNA, 1353 nt
Filed under: Cyanistes caeruleus (blue tit)
Lineage: Eukaryota; Metazoa; Chordata; Aves; Passeriformes; Paridae
Description: lncRNA (ENSCCEG00000006240.1)
Source: RNAcentral